This is a long non-coding RNA of Mugil cephalus (flathead mullet), 5223 nucleotides long. RefSeq lists it as uncharacterized. Lineage: Eukaryota; Metazoa; Chordata; Actinopteri; Mugiliformes; Mugilidae. The transcript has 4 exons. The record is from RefSeq and is a predicted model, not a curated record.
ACACAAGAAACACAACAAAGACGACUGUUUAAAGGCCAGUGAAAAGACAUAAUCGGAUAUAAGGGAGCAACGUACCUCACACCUUUCUGCACCUUUCUGGUGUUGACUCUUGUUUUAACUACUAGCCUGUGUCCUCAGAAUAUUGUUCUCAAUAUUUUAUUUUUUUUUUUUUACUUCAUCCACACAUACUCUUGUUCAAUGCGAUAACACAUACGUUGCAGAGAGGUUUACUGUACAGAGCUAUAACUGUUGAGAGUAUUUUAUGGCUUCGCUGACAUUUAACUUGCCCUCCUGUGGCACAUAGCACUGAAGCUAGUUGUCUUUCAGUAUCUGGUAUGUUUCGAGCAGCGAGCCACAUACAGAAGCCUAUAUGGUUUAUCUGUGGUGUUUUCACAUGUUGAUUCCGAUCAAACUAAUGAAUGGAGGCAGUGAUAGAUCUGGAGCUGAUUGACACAUCAGCUUGAAUUUCCUGCUGUUUUGUAUUUACUUAUAUGUUUGGCUUGACUUUCAUAGUGCUGUUCCUCUCUGCUUCUUCAAACUGGGGGCUUACCCACCCAUUUUGUCUCUUUGCUCAUUGGUACACAACAAAACACUUAAAUAAGCGUAAAAAUAAAAGCGUAAAAAACAGAAAACUAUCCAACAAAACGAUAUACUGACGAUGGGUAAGAAUGACCUUACUUCAAACAAAUCAAACCAACCAUUUAGGGGCGAGUUCCUACAGGUACUCAGAAAAAAAAAACAAAAUAAAAAACAGAAAAGAAUAACUAAGAAAAACAGCAUUUCUAUUUUUUUUUAAAAAAAGACAAAAAAAUCAAGAAGUCAUGUAUUUAUCAUUUGUCAUGACAUAUUAAAUGGAUAUAAAACCCCAUGUGAACAAAUGUUUUCUUUGUGAUGUCUACCCAGCACCUUCUUCUCCUCAUGACCCCAGUCGCAUUAUCUGCGUUAAAAUGCAAAUCCCAGUGGUAACGGCAUAUGGUUUUCAAAUUUUACGCUUGUUUGUCUCACAUUACUUUUGAACCACGUGUGACGACUUUCCACUGGGCCUCACUCACAUGUGGUACGAGUCUUGUCACGUUUGACGCAAUAUUACUUUUUAAAAACGGAAUUUGUGCACACAUUUGGGAUUUUCCAUUAUCUUUUUCUUUUCUUUUUUUUCCUAACAUGAUUCAGCAGCAUAAAGAGGAUCUAGUGAAUUUUUUUUUUUUUAAUUAUGAUUAUAUUUUUGUUUUGCAUGUGUCACCGGAACCAUGUGACUUCCUGCAUUAUGAAGAGAAACCUGCAGAUAUCAGGACAUUGCAGAAUUGACCUUAACUAACCUCUAUUCAUAACAUUAGCACAAAAGAGUAUAAUAUAUAAUAAUAUUAAUAAUAAUAAUAAUAAGACUUUACUUCUAACCUUUCCUCUGUGAGCAUUACUGAAAUUUCCAACAUUGACUUAAAGCACGGCACAGUCUGAACUCUAAGGAUACACUUGGCAGUGAGAGGGAUCUGACUCUUCAUGGGUCAUGUGGGCACUCAGCCGUGUUCCUCCGUGCCACAUGCUGAAUGCACUCUUUCACGGCGGCCUGGAUGUGUGACGCAGAAGCAUGACAGAAAAUACAGAUGAUCUACCCAGGCAGACGGGGCAGAUAAGGGUCAAAUUAAGUUCUCAGACUUCAAAUAACUAGCACAAAUCGACCCGGCCUCCGAAAGUGGAUUAAUAUUCCGGGUUCGGCCUGCCACUGCGGGGAUAAUGAGAAAUCUCAUCAAGAAUUGUAAUAUCAUUACUAGUGGUACAUUAGCAUCGGUUCUUUGAAAGGUCAACGGUAUAAUCGGCUUAAGAGGGCGCGGACUCUCGCUUUUUCUGCAUUGCCAACGUCACGGAGACACGUAGGAAUCGGCCUGUGACUUCAUCUGACUCAGAUCGCCACCAUGUUCCACGGAAACGUUCGGAACCAUUCCUGAACAGAGGACUGGGACGUCUCCUUGGGAUCGCUACCUUUCUUGCAGAGAGAGUCAGAGAUUCGCGCUUCGACCUGAGGGCAUCAAAAGUGCUGAACGAUCCAGAAUACCGGCCGAGUCCAUUAGAUCGCCUCCACGCUUGAACGUUGAGAUGUUCUUCUCGUUUCAUGUCUUCGGCACGUGUGGGACGUUGGAGAGUGCUGUCCAGUUACAGGAAUAGGAUGGAAUUCCCCAAAGUCUACUCUCUAUGUGACGUCCUCCUUAUGGUUAAAAAGAAACCGCAGUGAACUAGAUCCACCAACACUGACAGGUAACCAGGUAAAACUAUGUGCAUACAACCGAAUUUAUUAUUAAUCCCAUGAAGAACAAUACGCUAUUGUGUAAACUACAACUGUGUCUAUCUCCAGUGCAGAUGUGUCAAGUGUUAUACAGCAAUUAUUCUCAGCACAUCGAGCAGGCGUGUUUAUAUUCCACGUCCUCGCUCUGACGCCUGUCAGCCCCUUUGGAGCCAGAGUAAAGGAAAUAAAUUGAAAUUUCCUGGAAGUCCCCUCUGUGUGUCACAAUGCGUGCGGUGUCCUCCGGGGGCUACACGAAGCCGUUCCAUCGGACGGGGAGUGAAUGCAUGUUUGCAUAUGCAUUAUCAGGGGCAGACGUGGAAUGUCAAGUGACACAUGUGUCUCUUACAGAUACGUGGAAACGUGCGCGAAAAGUUGCCAUUCUUUAUCUGACCGUCAAAAAAUAAAUGCAAAUUUAUUUACGAUUAAAAGCAAAGAAGCCUUCUCAAACGCAGGAGUCCGCAUGUGCAUUUAAUAUAAACUGAUUAUGACAAUCAGGGAUUCAUACAUGUUCAUAAGAGUGUAAUUCUCUAUAGAUUAGUAUAAGUUUACGCUUCUCUCUCUUGUCCACAGCUCGAUCUGAGUCAGCUUUAACGCUGCACGCCCGCUGCCGCUGUGCUGAGCCGAAGACGGUGUUGACAACUUUGUUGCACUGUUUGCUCAAAGGGCUGUUUGCUUAUGUCUGAGCCAACAUGAGAGAGAGAGUAGAGGGAGACAAGGUUUUGGCGCUCGGCCAGCCAGGUCUACUCCUCUGGCGCGACACAAGACAGGAAGCUGACAUAAAAGAAUGGGGGACCGACUGUGAGGGACAGAGGAGCCAAGGCAGGAGCCGCUGACGAAGUCGGAAGUUAUUGUUUCAGCCCGCAGGCAUCCACGGUGACAAGAAUCUUAUAGUGCUAUUGAACUUGUUAUGAUCCCACAGCAAUGGCCACAAGUCUGGAGAGCAUCCCGGGACCUAAGCCUCAUCGCUGGAGCCUUUCCCCCUGACUAAAUGUAGUCACAAUAAGUGCUGCAGUGGAACUGUUUGCUAGCAAUCAUGGAUAUAAAGAGGUGCACACAAACCACUGCUGUUGAAAGCAGUGAUGAGGAAUAUAGUUUGCAUGAGCCUACUAGAUAUAUCGUAUGGCGAACUACACAACUAGAAUCAUUGAUAUUCUAAAUGAUGAUGCUGCUGCUGUUAUGCUGGAUUUCCAUACUCGGCCUACCUCCACCCCACUUUAAAUCGCUAUUUCCAUUGCUAGAAGGUUGGCUGAAUGAGGCCAAAGUGAUACUUUUCUGGGUACUUUUUAGUGCUUCCUCUGUGGUUGGUGCGAAGUAGGUGAAUUGGGGCUGAAAAUGUGACGUAGAACGUUGCUAACUACUGAUCGGUCAGAAAAAAAAAUCGUCACGAUGCAGCACCAGGUACAAAGCUGGAUGUUUUCACUAGAGAGAUGAGUGUUUUUGACUAGUCAUAAGCUGCUCACUUUCAACUUUCUGCUCUCGUGUCAUUAUUUUAAAUGAUGACUGGUAAAGUAAUGUCGUUCUGGACCAACCUGGACGUGAGGGCUUUUCUGUCCUUGUUGGGAGACGACAGUAAACAGCGGGAGUUGGACUUGGAACCACAAGGUUUUCCAGCGGAUGGCGGCUGAGAUGCCAAACUUGACUUUAUCAGGACGGUGAAACAAAUAAAGGAGAAACUUUAAAAAACUGAAAGCCGAAUAUCAGGCAGCCAAGGGCCACAACAAUACGAGUGGUGCUGACCGAAAGGUCCCGAAAUGGUAUGAGGAGAUGGACACGAUAUAGACCAGGGAGCGUCGGUAGGGAAGCUUUUCUUGAAUCCAUUACACCGUUGGCGCAGUUUUUAUCUUUUAUUACGUUCACUGUGUUCUGCUUCUGGUGGUUGUUUAAUGGUCUAAUGGUUGUUUUCUUUCGUUCACUGGUUGUUGGAACGUAACUUUACUGUGUAGCCCGCUGAUGCUAGUAGCAACAAGUGAAAACCUAAGCAAUGGAAAAGGUAGUUAAAAAAGAAAAGGUGGUUCGGCGCGUGGGUGGUUUAGAGGUAGGCCGUGUAUGGAAACCUGGCUUUAGAUGUCCUGUGUGAGGACGUCUUAACGUUCAAGCACCUGAAACAAGUGAUGUGAUGUGAUGUGGUGAUGGAUCACAGUGCAUCAAAAGUACACAACUUGCAUCAUUUCAGCUCACAACACUGAUCUCUCAGACCUGGAGUGACAUCCCUCCACAAUAAAAUGCUACAUUGCAUUGGUUUGUCAUCCUGUGUAAAGUGGUCGCUCUCUAUCAGACUGGUAGUUAACGUCCUAUUGCUUAUGGAGCGAAUAGAACUGGGAUUUCUUGACAAGACUUUACAAAAAAAAGUAACUCAGCUGGAUACAAAAUGUGAAUGACUAUGCACGUAACGACAGGGAGUCUACUGGAGGAGAAAUCCAAGACACCUGAAGCUUCAGCAGCUGAGAUGGAAGAGACUGUGCACUGCUCUGUUCCACUGCUUCUUCACUUCAAGCUAAGAGUUCACACAAGAAGACAACUGGAAACGAGCAAAGACCCUUCGUCUCUGGUCAAAGAAGACUGAAGACGAGUUCUUUGGACAUGGGAUGAGACUAUAUUAUCUGGGGAAUUACAGUUUUGGAGAAUUUUUCAUUAACCAGCGAGACAAUAACCUGGAGCAUGAAACGGACUGAACAAGGUGAAUGUUCUCGAGUCAAAGACCUUAAUCCGGUGGAGAAUCUGUAACUGAAAAGUGCCUUUCAGCCCUGAUCCUGAUCCUUGUGGAGGCCGGCAGAGGUUGAACAGCUCUGCAAAGGCAGAUCUGUAAGAUAACCUGAAAAAUUGAUCUAAAAAAUUGAUGGAGGUCAAUACUUUUUUUUUAUAUAUUACAUAUGACACUCUGUAAAGUUUUGUUUUGUAAACUCUUGUCAUAAAGCCAAAUUAUAUUGACCAGGAUUCCAUUUAUA